RNAcentral lists this long non-coding RNA (738 nucleotides) under Glycine max (soybean). Its description in RNAcentral is "long non-coding RNA (GMAX_LNC003855)". Lineage: Eukaryota; Viridiplantae; Streptophyta; Magnoliopsida; Fabales; Fabaceae. The record is from RNAcentral.
GGCGGAGGUGGUGGGGGUCCACCCCCAGGAGGGCUAGGAGCACCAGGAACACCAGGGGGAGGUGGAGGAGGAGGACCUCGACCAACGGGAGGAGGUGGAGGAGGAGGACCUCGACCACCAGGAGGAGGUGGUCCUUGACCACCCGGAGGUGGUGGUGGAGGUGGUGCUCCAUACAUUGGAGGGGGUGGAGGAGGUGGUCCUCUCCCACCAGGAGGUGGUGGUGGUGGAGGUGGGAGAAGUGGGGCUCGACCACCAGGAGGAGGUGGGGCUCCAUACAUUGGAGGAGGUGGAGGAGGUGGUCCUCUCCCACUAGGAGGUGGUGGUGGUGGAGGUGGUGCUCCAUACAUUGGAGGAGGUGGGGGAGGUGGAGCUCCACUUGAUGGACGAAGGGGUGGUGGAGGUGGAGGUGGGGCUCCACUUGAUGGAGGAAGAGGUGGCGGUGGGGGAGGGGGGGCUCUAGACAAUGGAGGAGGUGGUGGAGGGGGAGGUGUAGGUGGAGCUCUAUGUAAUGUAGGAGGCGGUGGUGGUGGAGCUUGCCUAAAAGGAGGUGGAGGUGGAGGUGGUGGAGAUGGAGGUAGUGAAGCUUUACCAAAAGGAGGGGGAGGUGGCGGUGGAGGUACAGGUGGUGGAGCUAAAUAUAUAUAUGAAUUAGCUAAGGGUGGUAGAAGGGGAGGCAGAGAUGGAGAUGGAGGUGGGGGUGCUGGUGGAGGUGAAGCUUUAUGUGAUGCAAACGGAGGU